CAAGAACUCCCUCCGUCCGAAAAUACUUGUCAUCAAAAUGGAUAAAGAAGGUGUAUCUAGAACUAAUAUACAUCUAGAUACAUCCCAUUUUAUUCAUUUUGAUGACAAGUAUUUCCGGACGGAGGGAGUAAUAC
Triticum aestivum (bread wheat) is the source of this 134-nucleotide non-coding RNA. The record is from Rfam. NCBI's taxonomy places the organism in Eukaryota, Viridiplantae, Streptophyta, Magnoliopsida, Poales, Poaceae.